RNAcentral lists this transfer RNA (70 nucleotides) under Loxechinus albus. RNAcentral's name for it is "tRNA-Ala". It matches the Rfam family "tRNA". From Rfam's summary of the family: Transfer RNA (tRNA) molecules are approximately 80 nucleotides in length. Their secondary structure includes four short double-helical elements and three loops (D, anti-codon, and T loops). The record is from RNAcentral. Lineage: Eukaryota; Metazoa; Echinodermata; Echinoidea; Camarodonta; Echinidae.
UGGCCCUAGUUUAGUGAAAAACGUUUAGCUUUGCAAGCAAGAGUCCUAAGUUAAAUUCUUAGGGGCUACA